UUGGAGGGCAAGUCUGGUGCCAGCAGCCGCGGUAAUUCCAGCUCCAAUAGCGUAUAUUAAAGUUGUUGCAGUUAAAAAGCUCGUAGUUGAACUUCGGGGUUUGCUCAUUGGUCAGGCUUAAUUGUCUGCACUGGUGGGAUAAAUCUCUACCUUCUGAGGAACUUUAAUGCCAUUAAUUUGAUGUGAUUGGGAAUCAGGACUGUUACUUUGAAAAAAUUAGAGUGUUUAAAGCAGGC
RNAcentral lists this ribosomal RNA (236 nucleotides) under uncultured Glomus. RNAcentral's name for it is "partial 18S ribosomal RNA". It matches the Rfam family "Eukaryotic small subunit ribosomal RNA", at positions 548 to 785 of the family's 1831-position model. Lineage: Eukaryota; Fungi; Glomeromycota; Glomeromycetes; Glomerales; Glomeraceae. The record is from RNAcentral.